RNAcentral lists this ribosomal RNA (468 nucleotides) under uncultured bacterium. RNAcentral's name for it is "partial 16S ribosomal RNA". It matches the Rfam family "Bacterial small subunit ribosomal RNA", at positions 28 to 507 of the family's 1533-position model. The record is from RNAcentral.
GACGAACGCUGGCGGCGUGCUUAACACAUGCAAGUCGAACGGAAAGGCCCUGCUUUUGUGGGGUGCUCGAGUGGCGAACGGGUGAGUAACACGUGAGUAACCUGCCCUUGACUUUGGGAUAACUUCAGGAAACUGGGGCUAAUACCGGAUAGGAGCUCCUGCUGCAUGGUGGGGGUUGGAAAGUUUCGGCGGUUGGGGAUGGACUCGCGGCUUAUCAGCUUGUUGGUGGGGUAGUGGCUUACCAAGGCUUUGACGGGUAGCCGGCCUGAGAGGGUGACCGGCCACAAUGGGACUGAGAGACGGCCCAGACUCCUACGGGAGGCAGCAGUGGGGAAUAUUGCACAAUGGGCGGAAGCCUGAUGCAGCAACGCCGCGGGCGGGAUGACGGCCUUCGGGUUGUAAACCGCUUUCGCCUGUGACGAAGCGGGAGUGACGGUAAUGUGUAAAGAAGCACCGGCUAACUACGUG